RNAcentral lists this ribosomal RNA (450 nucleotides) under uncultured bacterium. Its description in RNAcentral is "bacterial SSU rRNA". It matches the Rfam family "Bacterial small subunit ribosomal RNA", at positions 354 to 796 of the family's 1533-position model. The record is from RNAcentral.
GUGGGGAAUAUUGGACAAUGGGCGAAAGCCUGAUCCAGCCAUGCCGCGUGUGUGAAGAAGGUCUUCGGAUUGUAAAGCACUUUAAGUUGGGAGGAAGGGCAGUAAAUUAAUACUUUGCUGUUUUGACGUUACCGACAGAAUAAGCACCGGCUAACUCUGUGCCAGCAGCCGCGGUAAUACAGAGGGUGCAAGCGUUAAUCGGAAUUACUGGGCGUAAAGCGCGCGUAGGUGGUUUGUUAAGUUGGAUGUGAAAUCCCCGGGCUCAACCUGGGAACUGCAUUCAAAACUGACAAGCUAGAGUAUGGUAGAGGGUGGUGGAAUUUCCUGUGUAGCGGUGAAAUGCGUAGAUAUAGGAAGGAACACCAGUGGCGAAGGCGACCACCUGGACUGAUACUGACACUGAGGUGCGAAAGCGUGGGGAGCAAACAGGAUUAGAAACCCGGGUAGUCC